UCGCUCUCAUUUUAUCCACACAAUUUUCUUACUUUUCAUUGAAGGGUCCUUCAAUCAGAUAACAAUGAAGUUCAUUUUCUCGACCAAAUGAUCAUCAAUUUAAGGGACUCCCUUUGUUACUUAUUGUAACCUUUGACUUAAAUCACGGCGUGUUGGAGGGUUGAAACAGCAGGUGGGCAUCUGCCUUCAGGAAAACUAUUGGUUCAGUGUAAAUGAGCAAACAUGAGUACUUGUUGGAGGGUUGUUUUCCACACAAGUUGUCAGCCUUUUUUGUAGGUGCUUUGUGAUUGGCAUUGUCUGCUUUUCCAAGCACAUGCAGCUUGUGGUUCUGGUGUGUAGUGUAUUGGUAAAGCUAAAACCAUAUUUCUCAAACUGAUAUAAAAUCCAAUACUAAAUUAAAACCAAAAA
Long non-coding RNA from Mangifera indica (mango), 408 nucleotides. RefSeq lists it as uncharacterized. The transcript is spliced from 2 exons. NCBI's taxonomy places the organism in Eukaryota, Viridiplantae, Streptophyta, Magnoliopsida, Sapindales, Anacardiaceae. The record is from RefSeq and is a predicted model, not a curated record.